This 1752-nucleotide ribosomal RNA is filed under the name human gut metagenome. RNAcentral describes it as "bacterial LSU rRNA". It matches the Rfam family "Bacterial large subunit ribosomal RNA", at positions 665 to 2434 of the family's 2925-position model. The record is from RNAcentral.
GGCGGAGCGAAAGCGAGUCUGAAGAGGGCGAAGAGUCCUAGGCAAUAGACCCGAAGCGGAGAUGAUCUACCCAUGGCCAGGUUGAAACUUUGGUAAGACAAAGCGGAGGACCGAACCCGUGAACCUUGAGAAGUUCUGGGAUGAGCUGUGGGUUGGAGUGAAAGGCUAAUCAAAUUCCGUGAUAGCUGGUUCUCUUCGAAAUAUAUUUAGGUAUAGCCUCGUACGCUGAUCAUUGGGGGUAGAGCACUGAAAAGACUAGGGCCCACACCCGGGUACCAAACCUUAUCAAACUACGAAUACCAGUGAGUGAAGUACGGGAGUCAGGCAGUGGGGGAUAAGCUUCAUUGCCGAGAGGGAAAGAGCCCAGAUCACCGACUAAGGCCCCUAAACAUUGCUAAGUGGAAAGAAGGAAGUAGAUCUACCCAGACAAUAGGGAUGUUGGCUUAGAGGCAGCCAUCAUUUAAACAGUGCGUAACAGCUGACCUAUCGAGUGGGUUUGCGCCGAAAAAGAUCGGGACUAAGCGAUGUGCCGAAGUUGUGGAUUUACGAAAGUAAGUGGUAGAAGAGCGUUCUAAUGGGGCAGAAGCCUGAGGGGAACCGAGGGUGGACCGAUUAGAAGUGAGAAUCCAGACAUGAGUAACGAUAAGUACGGUGAGAAUCCGUACCGCCGUAAGGACAAGGUUUCCUUGGGAAGGUUCGUCCGCCAAGGGUGAGUCGGGAGCUAAGGUGAGGCCGUAAGGAGUAAUCGAUGCACAACAGGUUAAUAUUCCUGUACCGGCUUGCAAGCGUUAAGAUUCAAGGAGUGACAAAAGAAGCUAGUUCAGCGUCCGGAUGAAAGUGGGCGUCGAAGUAACGAGGCUGUUCGAUAGGCAAAUCCGUCGGGCGUAAGGCUGAGUUGCGAGAGGACGUGGAGGCUAAGGCCGAAGCGGAUUGAAGUGGGCUAUAUUUUCGAGAAAAGCUUCGUGAAGAGUUUGCGAGUUGCCCGUACCGUAAACCGACACAGGUGUCCGAGAUGAGUAUUCUAAGGCGCGUGAGUUAAACCUCCCCAAGGAACUCGGCAAAUUGAUCCUGUAUCCUUGGUAGAAAGGAUGCCUCGCAAGAGGCCGCAGAGAAAUGGCCCAGCCGACUGUUUAGCAAAAACACAGCUCUCUGCCAAGUCGAAAGACGAUGUAUAGGGAGUGACACGUGACCAAUGCGGAAAGGUGAAACUCGGAGGUGCAAGCUUCUGAACUAAGCCCCCGUCAAUGUCGGCCGUAACUAUAACGGUCCUAAGGUAGCGAAAUUCCUUGUCGGGUAAGUUCCGACCUGCACGAAACGUGUAACGAGUUGGGCGCUGUCUCAGGGAGGUGCUCAGUGAAAUUGUAGUCGCGGUGAAAAUGCCGCGUACCCGCAGUAGGACGGAAAGACCCUAUGGACCUUUACUGUAACCUGGUAUUGACGAUUUAUUUUUAAUGCGUAGGAUAAGUGGGAGACGGAGAGCGAAUGCUUCAGGGCAUUUGUGAGUCGACGGUGAAAUACCACUCUUUAAUGAUGAAUCUUCUAACCUUGACCCAUGAGCUGGGCGAGAGACAGUGCUAGGGGGUCAGUUUGACUGGGGCGGUCUCCUCCAAAAGCGUAACGGAGGAUUACGAAGGUCUCCUCAGACCGAUUGGCAAUCGGUUCUAGAGCACAUGAGUAGAAGGAGGCUUUACUGUGAGACCUACAAGUCGAGCAGUUGCGAAAGCAGGUUCAAGUGAUCCGGUAGUGGCGAGU